RNAcentral lists this ribosomal RNA (253 nucleotides) under uncultured bacterium. RNAcentral describes it as "partial 16S ribosomal RNA". It matches the Rfam family "Bacterial small subunit ribosomal RNA", at positions 524 to 776 of the family's 1533-position model. The record is from RNAcentral.
UACGAAGGGGGCUAGCGUUGCUCGGAAUUACUGGGCGUAAAGGGAGCGUAGGCGGGUUAUCAAGUUGGAGGUGAAAUCUCCGGGCUUAACCCGGAAAGGUCAACUGAUACUGCAGGGCUAGAGUGCAGAAGGGGCAACUGGAAUUCUCGGUGUAGCGGUGAAAUGCGUAGAUAUCGAGAGGAACACCUGCGGCGAAGGCGGGUUGCUGGGCUGACACUGACGCUGAGGCGCGAAAGCCAGGGGAGCGAACGGG